This 427-nucleotide ribosomal RNA is filed under the name Bacillus sp. R-31555. RNAcentral describes it as "bacterial SSU rRNA". It matches the Rfam family "Bacterial small subunit ribosomal RNA", at positions 22 to 451 of the family's 1533-position model. Lineage: Bacteria; Bacillati; Bacillota; Bacilli; Caryophanales; Bacillaceae. The record is from RNAcentral.
GCUCAGGACGAACGCUGGCGGCGUGCCUAAUACAUGCAAGUCGAGCGAACCACUUCGGUGGUUAGCGGCGGACGGGUGAGUAACACGUGGGCAACCUGCCUGUAAGACUGGGAUAACUUCGGGAAACCGGAGCUAAUACCGGAUAAUCCUUUUCCUCUCAUGAGGGAAAGCUGAAAGACGGUUUCGGCUGUCACUUACAGAUGGGCCCGCGGCGCAUUAGCUAGUUGGUGAGGUAACGGCUCACCAAGGCGACGAUGCGUAGCCGACCUGAGAGGGUGAUCGGCCACACUGGGACUGAGACACGGCCCAGACUCCUACGGGAGGCAGCAGUAGGGAAUCUUCCACAAUGGACGAAAGUCUGAUGGAGCAACGCCGCGUGAGCGAUGAAGGCCUUCGGGUCGUAAAGCUCUGUUGUUAGGGAAGAACA